UACACCCUUUCUACAACGAUGAUUAACUUUUGACCUUAUUUUUUUAAUGUUAAUAACAUAUUCAAACCUUUUAUUUUUAUUUAUAGGUUGUAGAAAACAUAUUUUGGUUAAAAUCUUUUUAUGAUAACAAAAAGUCUUUGUGUUGGCGUAUACCAAAAGCGCUCUAGUAUUCAGUUUUGAAAGUUGCUACUUUCAAAAAUUUAGAUCUUUGAAAACUGAAUAGCAUAUAAAAUUAAUAUGAUAACGACAUCAAAAUAUUUGUAAAAUAAUUUUGAUCCGAGUUGAUCUCGAAAGAGAUCUAAUAGAAAACCUUAAGAUAUAACACAUCAAAAAAAAUAUUAACUUUUUUAAUAGGAUAAUUAAAAAAUAGUUACUUAA
RNAcentral lists this unclassified non-coding RNA (378 nucleotides) under uncultured Mycoplasma sp. RNAcentral's name for it is "16S-23S ribosomal RNA intergenic spacer". The record is from RNAcentral. Lineage: Bacteria; Bacillati; Mycoplasmatota; Mollicutes; Mycoplasmatales; Mycoplasmataceae.